AUGAGGCUUCCUUCUCAGCUCCUGGGGCUCCUCCUGCUCUGGGUCCCAGGGUCCAGUGGGGAUUUAGUGCUGACCCAGAUCCCAGGCUCCCUGUCUGUCACGCCUGGGGAGCCGGCCUCCAUCUCCUGCAGAUCCACUGAAAACCUUGAAGAUAGUACCUCCAUGGCCUGGUACCAGCAGAAACCCAAGGAGGCUCCCAGGCUGCUCAUCUUUGGGGCUUCUGCCCGGGCCUCAGGAACCCCGUCCCGGUUCCGGGGAAGCGGCUCUGGCUCUGACUUCUCCCUCGCCAUCCACGGAGUGGAAGCUGAAGAUGUCGGAGUGUAUUACUGCCAGCAGCACGCCAGCCUGCCUCUCACAGUGACAGGCCCUCAGAUAAAAACUUCCUUUCUGGUCCAAUGA
Molecule: non-coding RNA, 399 nt
Organism: Vicugna pacos (alpaca)
Lineage: Eukaryota; Metazoa; Chordata; Mammalia; Artiodactyla; Camelidae
Source: the annotation of a RefSeq genome assembly